GAGUUUGAUCCUGGCUCAGAACGAACGCUGGCGGCGUGGAUAAGACAUGCAAGUCGAACGAGAGAAUUGCUAGCUUGCUAAUAAUUCUCUAGUGGCGCACGGGUGAGUAACACGUGAGUAACCUGCCCCCGAGAGCGGGAUAGCCCUGGGAAACUGGGAUUAAUACCGCAUAGUAUCGAAAGAUUAAAGCAGCAAUGCGCUUGGGGAUGGGCUCGCGGCCUAUUAGUUAGUUGGUGAGGUAACGGCUCACCAAGGCGAUGACGGGUAGCCGGUCUGAGAGGAUGUCCGGCCACACUGGAACUGAGACACGGUCCAGACACCUACGGGUGGCAGCAGUCGAGAAUCAUUCACAAUGGGGGAAACCCUGAUGGUGCGACGCCGCGUGGGGGAAUGAAGGUCUUCGGAUUGUAAACCCCUGUCAUGUGGGAGCAAAUUAAAAAGAUAGUACCACAAGAGGAAGAGACGGCUAACUCUGUGCCAGCAGCCGCGGUAAUACAGAGGUCUCAAGCGUUGUUCGGAAUCACU
RNAcentral lists this ribosomal RNA (525 nucleotides) under uncultured bacterium. RNAcentral describes it as "bacterial SSU rRNA". It matches the Rfam family "Bacterial small subunit ribosomal RNA", at positions 9 to 555 of the family's 1533-position model. The record is from RNAcentral.